RNAcentral lists this ribosomal RNA (492 nucleotides) under uncultured bacterium. Its description in RNAcentral is "partial 16S ribosomal RNA". It matches the Rfam family "Bacterial small subunit ribosomal RNA", at positions 29 to 507 of the family's 1533-position model. The record is from RNAcentral.
AGUGAACGCUGGCGGCAUGCCUAACACAUGCAAGUCGAACGGCAGCACGGGGAGUUCUUCCUCGUGCCGAUUGCGGAAGGCGGGAGGGUUACAUAUGAAUAUGACCCUUAUUUGUCGAGGGCACUUACGAAGCCGGACUAAUACUACAUACGAAUAACUCAUACGGGCGGGAGCACUUGGUCUUCCGCGCUUUAGCGUUUGAAUGAGCCGGAGUCGGAUUAGCUAGUUGGAGAGGUAAAGGCCUACCAAGGCGACGAUCCGUAGCUGGCCUGAGAGGAUGAUCAGCCACACUGGAACUGAGACACGGUCCAGACUCCUACGGGAGGCAGCAGUGGGGAAUUUUGGACAAUGGGCGAAAGCCUGAUCCAGCAAUGCCGCGUGUGUGAAGAAGGCCUUCGGGUUGUAAAGCACUUUUGUUAGGAAAGAAAAGCUGGGGAAUAAUCCAGUCAGGGGAUGACGGUACCGAAAGAAUAAGCACCGGCUAACUACGUG